GACGAACGCUGGCGGCGUGCUUAACACAUGCAAGCCGAACGGAAAGGCCCUGCUUUUGUGGGGUGCUCGAGUGGCGAACGGGUGAGUAACACGUGAGUAACCUGCCCUUGACUUUGGGAUAACUUCAGGAAACUGGGGCUAAUACCGGAUAGGAGCUCCUGCUGCAUGGUGGGGGUUGGAAAGUUUCGGCGGUUGGGGAUGGACUCGCGGCUUAUCAGCUUGUUGGUGGGGUAGUGGCUUACCAAGGCUUUGACGGGUAGCCGGCCUGAGAGGGUGACCGGCCACAUUGGGACUGAGAUACGGCCCAGACUCCUACGGGAGGCAGCAGUGGGGAAUAUUGCACAGUGGGCGGAAGCCUGAUGCAGCAACGCCGCGUGCGGGAUGACGGCCUUCGGGUUGUAAACCGCUUUCGCCUGUGACGAAGCGUGAGUGACGGUAAUGGGUAAAGAAGCACCGGCUAACUACGUG
This 468-nucleotide ribosomal RNA is filed under the name uncultured bacterium. RNAcentral describes it as "partial 16S ribosomal RNA". It matches the Rfam family "Bacterial small subunit ribosomal RNA", at positions 28 to 507 of the family's 1533-position model. The record is from RNAcentral.